CCUACGGGUGGCAGCAGUGGGGAAUAUUGCACAAUGGGCGCAAGCCUGAUGCAGCCAUGCCGCGUGUGUGAAGAAGGCCUUCGGGUUGUAAAGCACUUUCAGCGGGGAGGAAGGCGGUGAGGUUAAUAACCUCAUCGAUUGACGUUACCCGCAGAAGAAGCACCGGCUAACUCCGUGCCAGCAGCCGCGGUAAUACGGAGGGUGCAAGCGUUAAUCGGAAUUACUGGGCGUAAAGCGCACGCAGGCGGUCUGUCAAGUCGGAUGUGAAAUCCCCGGGCUCAACCUGGGAACUGCAUUCGAAACUGGCAGGCUAGAGUCUUGUAGAGGGGGGUAGAAUUCCAGGUGUAGCGGUGAAAUGCGUAGAGAUCUGGAGGAAUACCGGUGGCGAAGGCGGCCCCCUGGACAAAGACUGACGCUCAGGUGCGAAAGCGUGGGGAGCAAACAGGAUUAGAUACCCCGGUAGUC
Molecule: ribosomal RNA, 465 nt
Filed under: uncultured Klebsiella sp.
Lineage: Bacteria; Pseudomonadati; Pseudomonadota; Gammaproteobacteria; Enterobacterales; Enterobacteriaceae
Description: bacterial SSU rRNA
Rfam family: Bacterial small subunit ribosomal RNA
Source: RNAcentral